RNAcentral lists this ribosomal RNA (406 nucleotides) under Verrucomicrobiota bacterium. RNAcentral describes it as "Verrucomicrobia bacterium partial 16S ribosomal RNA". It matches the Rfam family "Bacterial small subunit ribosomal RNA", at positions 355 to 776 of the family's 1533-position model. The record is from RNAcentral. Lineage: Bacteria; Pseudomonadati; Verrucomicrobiota.
UGGGGAAUAUUGGACAAUGGAGGGAACUCUGAUCCAGCAAUUCUGUGUGUGUGAAGAAGGUUUUAGGACUGUAAAACACUUUUAGUAGGGAAGAAAAAAAUGACGGUACCUACAGAAGAAGCAACGGCUAAAUACGUGCCAGCAGCCGCGGUAAUACGUAUGUUGCGAGCGUUAUCCGGAAUUAUUGGGCGUAAAGCGCGCGCAGGCGGACUAGCCAGUCAGUCUUAAAAGUUCGGGGCUUAACCCCGUGAUGGGAUUGAAACUACUAGUCUAGAGUAUCGGAGAGGAAAGUGGAAUUCCUAGUGUAGCGGUGAAAUGCGUAGAUAUUAGGAAGAACACCAGUGGCGAAGGCGACUUUCUGGACGAACACUGACGCUGAGGCGCGAAAGCCAGGGGAGCGAACGGG